CCUACGGGUGGCAGCAGUAGGGAAUCUUUCACAAUGGGCGAAAGCCUGAUGGAGCAACGCCGCGUGCAGGAUGAAGGCCUUCGGGUUGGAAACUUCUUUUUUAAGCGAGAAAUAUGAUGGUAACUUAUGAAUAAGGAUCGGCUCACUACGUGCCAGCAGCCGCGGUCAUACGUAGGAUCCGAGCGUUAUCCGGAGUGACUGGGGGUAAAAAGUGGCGUAGGGGGGAUAAUGAGUAGCUAGUGAAAUCUGGUGGCUCAAACAUUCAGACUAUUAGCUAAACUGUUAAGCUCGAGAACGUUAGGGGUAAGUGGAAUUCGUGGUGUAGGAGUGAAAUGCGUAGAUAUCAGGAAGAACACCGAUAGCGUAGGCAGGUUACUGGGACGGUUCUGACACUAAGGCACGAAAGCGUAGGGAGCAAACGGGAUUAGAUACCCCUGUAGUC
Molecule: ribosomal RNA, 442 nt
Filed under: uncultured bacterium
Lineage: Bacteria
Description: partial 16S ribosomal RNA
Rfam family: Bacterial small subunit ribosomal RNA
Source: RNAcentral